UACGUAGGGAGCAAGCGUUGUCCGGAAUCAUUGGGCGUAAAGCGCGCGUAGGUGGCUUCGUAAGUCCGUUGUGAAAGUCAAAGGCUCAACCUUUGAAAGCCGAUGGAUACUGCGGAGCUAGAGUACGGAAGAGGCGAGUGGAAUUCCUGGUGUAGCGGUGGAAUGCGCAGAUAUCAGGAGGAACACCAAUAGCGAAGGCAGCUCGCUGGGACGUUACUGACACUGAGGCGCGAAAGCGUGGGGAGCGAGCAGG
Molecule: ribosomal RNA, 253 nt
Filed under: uncultured bacterium
Lineage: Bacteria
Description: partial 16S ribosomal RNA
Rfam family: Bacterial small subunit ribosomal RNA
Source: RNAcentral